Homarus americanus (American lobster) is the source of this 2677-nucleotide RNA transcript. It is a transcript of the gene named cyclin-C-like, with no coding region annotated. Lineage: Eukaryota; Metazoa; Arthropoda; Malacostraca; Decapoda; Nephropidae. The transcript has 7 exons. The record is from RefSeq and is a predicted model, not a curated record.
UUGACAACAACACAAAUCCGCCAAAAGGUUGUCCAGUCCCAUCUUCUUUCUUAUAUAUCACAAUUUAACGUUAUGGCUGGCAAUUUCUGGCAAAGUGCCCACUACCAGCAGUGGCUCCUGGACAGUCAGGAUCUGAUCCAGGAGCGCCGGGCAGACCUGGAGGUUCUCACCGAGGAGGAGUACCACAAGGUUAUGAUAUUCUUUGCCAACUUUAUUCAACAGCUCGGUGAAACCCUCAAGUUACGACAACAAGUUAUUGCCACAGCAACAACCUUCCUGAAGCGAUUCUAUGCAAGAAACUCCCUCAAAUGUAUUGAUCCUCUUCUCCUGGCCCCCACCAGUGUCUUCCUCUCUUCCAAGGUGGAGGAGUUUGGUGUUAUCUCCAACAGUAGAUUGAUCUCCACCUGCCAGACUGUAGUGAAGAACAAGUUUGCCUAUGCAUACUCCUCAGAAUUCCCAUACCGAACAAACCACAUCCUUGAGUGUGAGUUUUAUUUGCUGGAGAGUAUGGACUGUUGUCUCAUUGUCUACCAGCCAUACAGACCUUUGGUACAGUACAUGCAAGAUCUAGGUGGGGAGGGCGAGGUGUUACAGCUUGCUUGGCGGAUUGUCAAUGACUCCUUAAGAACUGAUGUGUGUCUCCUCUUUCCUCCCUAUGAAAUUGCUCUCUCAUGUAUCCAUAUGGCCUGUGUGGUCCACCAGAAGGACUGUAAACAGUGGUUUGCAGAACUAAAUACAGACUUGGAUCGCAUCAUGGAGAUUACCCGCUACAUCCUCAACUUGUAUGACCUCUGGAAAUCGUAUGAUGAACGCAAGGAAAUUCAGACCCUACUGCAGAGGAUGCCCAAACCCAACACCCAGCAGGUCCCUCGGUGAUUAGAACUAAACAUGUACAGUAAUCUCCCCGUUAGCCUGAAUCCCCGGUCCCCAGAACUCUCAGAUAACCGGGUUGGAUAUUGAGCCUUCCGGGAAAACUCUCUCCAUUCCGGGCAUGGGAACGAGUUUCCGAGGAUGGAAUCAUGCGUAUUUUGUGAGAAAAUCUCUCCAAACCUGUCCAUUCCAGGCAUGGGAACAAAUUUUGCUGCUUGGGUAACUUAGGCCAUAAGCUCAUGUACUUAGUUCAGAUUCUGCUGCCAUUGUACAAGGUUGAUCCCUCGCUCGCUGCUCUUUUAGUGUUGUGCAGUAUUGUACAUUACUGUACCAGGACACAAUCAGCCAAGAAUACAGUCUUAACACAGUGAUAAGAUGUAAAAAGUGAUUACAGUUACGUAUACUGUACUGUACAUUUGGCAGAGUGGACAGUGUAUGCUUACUGUAGGUUAGUGUGUAGAGGUGUAUGUAUAGUAUACAGGGUGUGUACAAUCUCUCCUUUAUGGAGGUAGAGGAGAGUGACAGUAACACCUGCUACAGUAGAUGGUACUGUACAGGACAAAGGAAGGCCAUCCUGUAUCAUAUUACCAUUUGGCCUGCCUGCAUCACACCACAAGCUCAAGACGACAGCAUCUACUGACAGGAUCACUUUAAGCCAAAUAAGAGUGGAAGUAGUCAAGAUAGAAAGCGUCAGUCACUGCUGUUUCUCCUCAGACAGUGAGGUAGCUGACCCACCAUCACGCACCUCAGCUGAUUCCUUCUUUGAUAAGGUACUAUUGGUAUUAAUGCAUAUUUUACCUUACCUUGUCCUCUCUCUUUUUUCUGUACAUUCUAUCAUCUCUUCUCUUACUCUGACGUCUCAUCAACUUUCUCCAGAAGAGAUUAAAUAUUCAAAUCCAAUUUCGGGUGUAUAAUGUGGUUGGAGGUUUAUACAUAGAAGACAUUAAAAAAAUUUCCUCUCUGUUAUCCGCUACUAUCCCAGGAGGGGCACGCAGGAAUACAUGCUUUUAAUCCAUGCUUCCUAGGAGUUGUGGAUAUCAAAACUCGAAUAAAUAGCUUUUUAGGCUCUGACCAAACUUGACACGUGGAUGUAUGAUGAAAAGAUCUCACUCGAGGUCAUUAAAUGGUAUUUCUGUGAUAUUUUUUUUCCCAGAGUUGCAGACGCUUAGACUUUUAGUCUCAUCAGGGAACUUGUCUAUCAUUAGAAGGGAUUCUUGUUCUACUUAAAUAUUUUCUACCUGUAUUCUAACUUCCCUUCAGUCUUCUCUCUCUUCCAUCCUCCCACCUGAGAUGUUUUAAAUCAGUUGUGGCAUAUAAUUUUUCCAGACAAAAGUUGGAAUUGUAUAGUCUUCAUACAUCUAACUUGGCAUAACAUAAACUAACCUGGCCUAAUCUCACCGAUCUUAGCCUAAUCCAACCCGACUCAACCUAAUGUAACCUAACCCAACCCCACCUGUAAUUACCACCUCAAAACUCCUUUAUUUAUUUAUUCAGUACCUGUGUUGUUUACUACCCCUCAUUAACACUAUCUAUAUGGUUUUCAUGAAGGACUUUGUUUUGAACACUUGUAUAUAAAUGUCAUAGUGUCGUAAUGGUUGAUACUUGCUUAGAAACAUUUUUUCCCAGGGAUGAUGUAUCACGAUCUGUGUUCUCUGCAACACAGCAAAUAUAUCAAGAGUUCUUUAGGUAAAUAUUUUAGGUACCGUAACAAAAUUUAUUUAUUGUGUGGUUUAUGAAAUUAUAAAAUUUUUGUGAGCUCCAGAAAUAGAUUGAGUAAAUUAAAAAAAAAUAUUAUAUACAAUAUACA